AGCAGCCGCGGUAAUUCCAGCUCCAAUAGCGUAUAUUAAAGUUGUUGCAGUUAAAAGCUCGUAGUUGAAUUUCGGGGUUAGCAGGUCGGUCGUGCCAUCGGUAUGAACUGGUCUCGCUGAUCCCUCCCUCUUGACGAACUGUGAUGCCAUUAAUUUGGUGUCGCAGGGAAUCAGGACUGUUACUUUGAAAAAUUAGAGUGUUUAAAGCAGGCUCACGCUUGAAUACAUUAGCAUGGAAUAAUGAAAUAGGACGUUUGAUCCUAUUUUGUUGGCUUCUAGGAUUGACGUAAUGAUUAAUAGGGAUAGUUGGGGGCAUUAGUAUUCAAUUGUCAGAGGUGAAAUUCUUGGAUUUAUUGAAGACUAACUACUGCGAAAGCAUUUGCCAAGGAUGUUUUCAUUAAUCAAGAACGAAAGUUAGGGAUCGAAGACGAUCAGAUACCGUCGUAGUCUUAACCAUAAACUAUGCCGACUAGGGAUCGGAUGAUGUUAAUUUUUAAUGUACUU
This 504-nucleotide unclassified non-coding RNA is filed under the name uncultured Glomus. RNAcentral describes it as "SSU rRNA". It matches the Rfam family "Eukaryotic small subunit ribosomal RNA", at positions 569 to 1079 of the family's 1831-position model. The record is from RNAcentral. Lineage: Eukaryota; Fungi; Glomeromycota; Glomeromycetes; Glomerales; Glomeraceae.